Molecule: non-coding RNA, 73 nt
Organism: Myotis lucifugus (little brown bat)
Lineage: Eukaryota; Metazoa; Chordata; Mammalia; Chiroptera; Vespertilionidae
Source: Rfam
AGCGGUCCACAGGUGAUGCACCCUAGAACUGGGCUCCCUCCUCUCUGGUUCCGGGGUGCAUCACUGAACCGCU